CCUGAUAGCUCAGUUGGUAGAGAAUCCGCCUGCAAUGCAGGAGACCCUGGUUCGAUCCCUGGGUCAGGA
Molecule: transfer RNA, 69 nt
Filed under: Ovis aries (sheep)
Lineage: Eukaryota; Metazoa; Chordata; Mammalia; Artiodactyla; Bovidae
Rfam family: tRNA
About the family: Transfer RNA (tRNA) molecules are approximately 80 nucleotides in length.
Source: Rfam by way of RNAcentral